This is a long non-coding RNA of Corvus hawaiiensis (hawaiian crow), 1422 nucleotides long. RefSeq lists it as uncharacterized. Lineage: Eukaryota; Metazoa; Chordata; Aves; Passeriformes; Corvidae. The record is from RefSeq and is a predicted model, not a curated record. The transcript is spliced from 4 exons.
UUAAAUUCCCCAAUAAAGUUUUAGGUUUGAAGAGCUUAGAGAAUCGUGGAAUGGUUUGGACUGGGAGGGAUUUUAAAGAUUACCUCAUUCCAUGGACAGGGACACCUUCCACUACCCCAGGUUGCUCCAAGCCCCAUCCAACGUGGCCUUGGGCACUCCCAAGGAUGGGAAUGUUCACUGUUCCUCACUGUGCCUUCUUUUUGCUGGCAGGGAGGUGAAACACCUGAGAUGUGGAGGAUGGAGAAGUCCUGCCAGCUCUGGUUUUUCCCAGGAUUUGCAGUUUAUUCCUCACAGAAGUGGGAAUUGGCCCUCCUGACAUGGCUCCAUCGUUCAGCCCCUUGCACAGCCACAAUGAGGAAGCUUCCAGUGAGGAACACCCUGGUGGUCACCACAGCCGAGACUGGAACUGGGAAUGCUCCACAGAAGCAACCCUGGCACCGUGUCAUGGAUAAAUCCAGGGAAAGCUGCUGGGAACCUUGGGAGGAACUGCAGCUAUUUUCUCACAUUCAUAAAUCCUGAUCCUGGUAUCAUUUAUUUCAAAUUCUCCCUGUUUUCGUUGGAAUGCAUUUAAUUGGCUUGGAAGGAGGAUAAUCUCUUGAAGAAAAACAUGCUUCGCAUGGAAAGAACUCCUUUAAAGCUUGGCAAAAAAAAGCAGAUAAUGGCCAAAUUCUUCGAAUGCUCCAUUGUGCCAAAAACUGCUGGAAUUGGUCAAAUCCUGCCAUCAAAGGGGAGCUGGGAAUCUGCACUGCCUGACUUGCUGAAUCAUUCCUGGGCUUGGAAUGCUGGUUCUGGCACACUGGGAGGAAGAGGAGGUCACUCAGGAGGAAGAGAAGAGAAUUCCAGCAGGGAAUGAUGUUUCCAGGUGGGGAGGGGUGUUAAGAUGGGCUCAGCUCCAUCCUUGUAGGCUCUGCUAAAGCAGUUUUGGGGUUUCUUUGCCACUGGGGAGUGAAGGAACCUUCCCAGCCAUGGUUUAGAGCUCCCUGCACAUUCCAGAGCUUUCCACCUGCUCCAUCUGCUCCUACCUUUCCCUGGGAGUCACCUGUGUCCUGCUGCCCGGAGAGGUGGGGAAAAGGAUGACCUGGAGCAAGUCUGACAGGCCAGGGAGGAGGAAAUCCAGGAUUUAUCCAUGCCCAAGAUUUUCUGGCUGUACUUUUUUUAAUCCCACAAGUUUUAUCACAUAAACACUUCUGGCAAAGACGUGAAAAGCCCCAGCACCUGGAGCUGAGAUCUCUUCAAAACACUGAUUAUAAUUUGUCAAGUGUUCCAUCACCUCUGAGGGAGCUGAGGCCUCACGGAAGGAAAGGCCUAAAAAACCGAUGGGAAACAAAGGUGGAUCUGUUUAAAGUGGGUUUGAGGAGAACUAAAAAGGUGCCCAGAGCAGCUGGGGCUGCCCCUGGAUCCCUGGCAGUGCCCAAGGCCAGG